UUCCUACGGGGCGCAGCAGUAGGGAAUCUUCCACAAUGGGCGAAAGUCUGAUGGAGCAACGCCGCGUGAGUGAAGAAGGGUUUCGGCUCGUAAAACCCUGUUGGUAGUGAAGAAAGAGAGAGGGAGUAACUGGCCUUUAUUUGACGGUAAUUACUUAGAAAGCCACGGCUAACUACGUGCCAGCAGCCGCGGUAAUACGUAGGUGGCAAGCGUUGUCCGGAUUUAUUAGGCGUAAAGCGAGUGCAGGCGGUUCAAUAAGGCUGAUGUGAAAGCCUUCGG
This 279-nucleotide ribosomal RNA is filed under the name uncultured bacterium. Its description in RNAcentral is "partial 16S ribosomal RNA". It matches the Rfam family "Bacterial small subunit ribosomal RNA", at positions 336 to 607 of the family's 1533-position model. The record is from RNAcentral.